UACGAAGGGGGGUAGAGGUGUUCGGAAUUACUGGGCGUAAAGUGCGAGUAGGCGGCCCUGUCAGUCAGAAGUGAAAGCCCCGGGCUCAACCUGGGAAUUGCUUUUGAUACUGCAAGGCUAGAGUUUCGGAGAGGAUGGUGGAAUUCCCAGUGUAGAGGUGAAAUUCGUAGAUACUGGGAAGAACACCGGUGGCGAAGGCGGCCAUCUUGACGAACACUGACGAUGAUUCGCCAAAGCCUGUGGAGCAAACAGG
RNAcentral lists this ribosomal RNA (253 nucleotides) under uncultured bacterium. RNAcentral's name for it is "partial 16S ribosomal RNA". It matches the Rfam family "Bacterial small subunit ribosomal RNA", at positions 524 to 776 of the family's 1533-position model. The record is from RNAcentral.